Cavia porcellus (domestic guinea pig) is the source of this 401-nucleotide long non-coding RNA. RefSeq lists it as uncharacterized. The record is from RefSeq and is a predicted model, not a curated record. The transcript is spliced from 2 exons. NCBI's taxonomy places the organism in Eukaryota, Metazoa, Chordata, Mammalia, Rodentia, Caviidae.
GAAGAACUGACUUGUGGAAGGAACGCAGCCUGAUGAUUACAUCUAAUAAUUUCAGGGCCCUUCUUGGAGACCCUGCCGGUGCAGAGAGGGAUCCUACUGCCAUUUCAAUUAUGCAGGAUCCUGGGUGGAGGAUGUGCAUGAAGAUAGGUUAUAUGCACUUUUGUCUCCCAAUCAACACCACAGCUGGGAAACUAUUCAAGUGUUUGAAUGAUUACAUAUCAGGAGAACUGAUCCAACCAUUUUGCAUUGAUACCUUCACAGAUGAUUCAGCUGCUAUGACUGGAUGGCUUUCUGGCUUCACCAUUUUGGUUAAUGAGAUUACUUCUGAAUGUGACCCUGUGUGCUGUGAGAUCCAUAGAGAAGUGCUGCCUAACUGAAUAAUAUCACCUGAACCUAACAAA